Molecule: ribosomal RNA, 440 nt
Filed under: uncultured bacterium
Lineage: Bacteria
Description: partial 16S ribosomal RNA
Rfam family: Bacterial small subunit ribosomal RNA
Source: RNAcentral
CCUACGGGUGGCAGCAGUGGGGAAUAUUGCACAAUGGGGGGAACCCUGAUGCAGCAACGCCGCGUGGGUGAAGAAGUACUUCGGUAUGUAAAGCCCUGUCAGCAGGGAAGAAAAUGACGGUACCUGACUAAGAAGCCCCGGCUAACUACGUGCCAGCAGCCGCGGUAAUACGUAGGGGGCGAGCGUUAUCCGGAUUCACUGGGUGUAAAGGGAGCGUAGACGGCCAAGCAAGCCAGGGGUGAAAGCCCGGGGCCCAACCCCGGGACUGCCCUUGGAACUGCAUGGCUGGAGUGCGGGAGGGGCAGGCGGAAUUCCUGGUGUAGCGGUGAAAGGCGUAGAUAUCAGGAGGAACACCGGCGGCGAAGGCGGCCUGCUGGACCGCGACUGACGUUGAGGCUCGAAAGCGUGGGGAGCGAACAGGAUUAGAUACCCCGGUAGUC